GUUCCUCAAUUUUGGAGAGUAUUUACUUCUAAUAAGCAGUAGAAUAUAAUCUAGUGGAUGAUGUGCGGGUUCAGUGAAGGAAGUGCUACAUAGUUGGGCUCAUAGAAGUGGGAAGAGAAGUCUAAGGGCAUGGAGUGUUGCCCCCUUAGCAAUCAUGUUGGGUUAUUUGGAAAGAGAUAAUUAGAAGGGCGCUUGAAGGAGUGGAACAAGAGUUUAUAAAAUUGCAAAGUAGUCUUUUGUUAAGGUUGUUUAUUUCAGCAUUAAAGUAUAUUAUGACCUACUGUGCAAAAACCACUGUCAGAAUGGAAAACAAAAUUACUCUAAAUGACUGGUUAACUAUUAAAAGUUUUGGCAUGCACCAACUCAUGAUAUAUGAAAAGAGUCUCCUUGGGACGUAUCGGUCACACACACCUUUAGUUUGUACUCGUCCAAAUAUUCUCCUGCUUCAUCUCUAAGGUGCAAUCUAAUUUCAGUUCCACGACCAAGAGGUUCAUUCCAUACAUCUUCAGAAAUGGCAAAUGCACCAUCAGCCUUAGACUCCCAGACAUAUCUGAAUGCAGAUAUUUGUUAAAUCACUAAUAAAAUUCCCAAUACAUCAAUAGUCAUUAAUCAACACAUUCACACAAGAACGUACUGUUUGUCAUCGUUAUGCUUGCUGAUGACCUCAACAUAGUCAGCUACAAGAUAGACCGAGUAAAACCCAACACCAAAUUGUCCAAUCAGAUUAAGGUCUCCACUUGUCUGCAUCUUCUCAACAAAGGCUGUUGAGCAAUAACAAGUUAGUGAACAGUAAAGAGAACUCCAAGAACACCGCCAAUCUCAUAUCCACCAGAUAGAUUACCUGAAGUUCCAGAUUUAGCUAUAGUUCCCAAGUUCUUUAUUAAAUCCUCCUUGGUCAUUCCUAUACCUCUGUCACGAAUGGAAAGAAUUUUCUUUUCUUUAUCCAGUUUAAUCUGCAAUAAACAAUACAAUCAUCAGAACAGCUUUUAAAAGAGCAACCUCCUCGUACUAGCAACCAACAGAGUCUACACAAACAACGGACACAAAUCACCAACCUGGAUCUCAAGCUUAGUGUUAUCACCUUCCCCAAGUACCUCCUUGUCAGUAAGUGACAGGAACCUAAUCUUGUCCAGCGCCUGAAUUUAACAGGAUAUUAACUUAGAAGAAAUCAUUUGCAUAUAAUGUCGAACAUCACCAGAGACUUUAAAAGUGUGCUUACAUCCGAUGCAUUCGAGAUCAGCUCCCUCAAGAAGAUGUCCUUGUUACUGUAAAGGGAGUUGAUAAUGAUGUCCAUAAGCCGAGAGACCUCAGCUUGGAACUCAAAUUUCUCUGCAUCAGCUCGGAGAGUUUUCCUAGACAUAGACUCCGAUUCCCUAUAAUGAUAUAGUGCUCAGUACAAUGAAGAUACAAAGAAGUUGAAGGCAAGGAAUCAGGGCGAAACAAACUAAAUGAAUCGACAAUUCGGAAACCUUUUAACGACAUCAGAAUCAGUGGAUAAACCAUGUGGAACAGCACCAAACUUUUCCUCAACCUUUGGCGGAUCAACAGGGGCAUCAGAUUCAGCUUCCGCAUUUGCUUGAAUCCUCCGACCUAUUGAGUAAAAAAAUCAUGUUUCAGAAUAAAGCAGUAAUGUCCGUACUCCACUAAGCAAUUCAAUCAAUCAAUCAACUAUGUAACUCCUUAAAUAAUUACGGCAGCAAAUUUUCAAGGCAGCACCAGACCAAAAAUGCCUCACAAACUUCAAAGCUAAGGCAAAUAUUACUGCCCAAUGCUCGAUCCACAGUAUUAGUUCAUCAUCUAACUAAACUAUUUAAAAUCUUACAUACAUAUAACAAGAAAAUUCCAUGAGAUCUCAAAACAAAUAGUUUACCUUGAUCUGGAAGAAGGAAAAGAAGACAUAACAGAAACAGGACCGAAGGGAUCGUCCACUUCCUCAUUUGUAUUGGAUUUCACUCUCAGACCUCAGCGGCUUUUGAAAUUUGGCUUCUAAGUAGCGCCAUUUCCAGUGAGCGACUAUAUAUAGUGAGCUCGUGCCGUCUCCGUCUGUGUCACGAGUUCGAUACCCACGACUAGGAGAUCCAUUUUCCUAAUUUUUUGCCAGCGUGGACGAUCGAACGGUUAUGAUGUGUGAUAGUAUACGUGGCGUGGUUUUAUUGGUUUCCGUCGCCUCUUGAGACGUGGAGAAAACCUUUGUUCUAUAAGUCGACGCGAACGACGACCUGGUUUCUAUCUUCUGCGCUGAGGUCCAUGGAAUAGAUCAGUUGGAAUUACUUACCGUAGCAGCUACGUCUGAGAACCACGUGUUCUUCUUUCAUUGGCAAGUACAAAAGGUGUAAGGUGAGUGGUGACCAUACAUUAUGCAGCGAAUUCAGGUCAAUAUUCGUGAUUAUGAACUAAUGUUAAUAAUUUGCGAUUUUUUAACUUCGACCAUUCCUUGUGUUAAACCAUAGGUUUUGAAAAUAUUUUUUAACUAGAGUUAAGUUCAAUGCAUAAUUGUCUAAAACUAUUUACAGAAUGACUUACAAAAUAAUUAUCUGUUACAAGCAUUCAUUAAUAUCUCGAUAAACAUGAUAACUAACUUACUAUAAUAGGUUAAACUAUACUGAUAAAAGAAAUAUUUAUACUAUCAAAUUAACUUAGAUCCUUUUAAAUAUUCUACUUAUCAUGAUACUGAUCCGUCUAUUGAUUUUUCAUAAUUAAAGAGUAGAGUCAUUUAUUAUUCUUUCUUUUGCAUGAAUUCAAUCAAAAGAUGGAAGAAAUGUAGAAUCACGUAGCGGACUUAUGAUCUGGUUAUCUUGGUUGCAUGAUAAUCGAGAAUAUUAAUAGAACAUGAUAAAGACAAGACACAUUCUUCUAAAUUUCUAUGAUGUAAAUGAGAGUUUACAAUUACGUAAGUUCUUUGUGGUAGCAAUAAUCUAGACGAGAAGCAAUAAAUUUUGUCUAUUAUUGUUUCUACUGCUAACAACAUUUGGUUCGGUUAAGGCAUUAAUUACGUUUCAUUUGCUAAACUCACGAAGCAGGGGCGGCCCUUCCCUAAAGCAAGUAAAGUAAUUGCUUUAGGCUCCAUAUUUGUGGGGGUGGAUAUUUUUUGUUACAUCUAAUAGGCUAUAUACAAGUUUUUAAAAAGUUAUGUGAAGUAAAAAUAUUUGAUUUCUUUCUAUAAUAAAUACUCCCUCUGUUCCAGUUUACGUGAACCUAUUUCCUUUUUAGUCUGUUCCAAAAAGAAUGACCCCUUUCUAAAUUUGAUAACAAUUUAGCUUAAACUUAUAAUUCUACCCUUAAUGAGAAACUUUUAUAACCACACAAAUACUAUGGGCCCCUUUUUGACUUGUUUAGGACCAUAAAUUUCAAAAGUCUUCAUUUUUUCUUAAACUCUGUACCCAGUCAAACAGGUUCACAUAAAUUAAAAUGGAGGGAGUAUAGAGAAGAAGGAUUUACAAUUGAUAUGAUUUCUGCCUAGGAAAUUAUAGUUGAAAUAAAUAUAUAAUCUAAAUUUCGUGGGAAACUUGUGAUAUAUAGAAAAAAAUAAUUUGAUGAGAAUAUUGAUUGUGAAAUCUCAUGUUCUCUUGAAGAGUCCUUUAGAGUUGAUUAUUUUAUAUACAUAGUAUUCACUUCAAAAUAGAUUUAAACAAUUCGAAACAUAUGAAAAUAUUUUUGAUUUUAUAUUUAGCGGUAAAAAACUGAGAUCACUAUAUAAUGGAAAGAGAGUUUAAAUGUAUUAGGUAUAUUGUCAAUUAUUAUGAGAAACUGAUUAUAAGAAAAUUAUUAAUAAUUUUACAUCUAAAAAAACUAAAAAAAUAGACUUCAAAUAAAAAGUUUUUUGAAAAAAGAAGUUAAAGCCCAUUAUAAUUUAGCUUCAAGCCACAAAAUUUGGGGAGAAAUUCAAAAAUAUCCAGAUUUACAACUGGUCAUUCAAAAAUAGCUCAGUUUCAAAAGUAAUCAAAAUUUAGCCAAUUUUCAUGUAAACAUAAAUCUGAGCGAAAACACUGUUCAAAACCCGAAAAAUACGCCAGUAUAUUAUACUGGAGUUCCAACAAAAAUAUGCUUGAACUCCAGCAUAUUAUACUGGAGUUCCAGCAUAAGUACACUAGAACUCCAGCAUAAUAUACUGGAGUUCCGGCAAGGAUAAUUGUCCAGUAUAAUAUACUGGAGUUUGGAGCACUGGUGCUCCAGUCUCCAGUAUAUUAUACUGGAGUCAGCAAAGUAUACCGGUCCAGCAUAACAUGCUGGAGUUCAUACACAGGUGCACCGAACUCCAGUAUAUUAUGCUGGAUCGAUCUCUGUUGCAGCAAAAUAGUGGCUAUUUUUCAUUGACUUCGUAAAUGCUGGCUAUUUUUGAAUGAUCACUCCGAACACUGGCUAUACCGUGCUAUUUUUACCAAAAUUUGUCGGGCUGUCCCAGGAAGUAGUAUAUGAAGGUGCAUUUUUGCAUAUCUGGUACAUUCGUAGGAAAAGAUUCUUUUAUUCAUUUAUAGAGUCAUGUAAAAAUGAUUUAAAUGUAACUGUUAUAUGAAUUUACUAAUAAUUGACGUAUCCCCUAUGAAGCUGAAAUUUCUUUAUGCUUUCUCGCUUUUAAGUUCCUCAUAGGGACAAAAUAAGUAUGGGGCUAACUGCUAUACAACAAGGUAAGUCUGGAUUGACUAUUUUCAAAGGUAACCCCUCUUGUAGAUUUGGAAAAUCUCUAGUAACCUACAUCCACGCAAUAAAAGAUUUCUCCUGGAUAUUCAAUUAUCACAUUGCGAAUCAUCUUGCAUCGCAUGAGGUUAUACAUAUUAAAUUUGGUCAUAAUAAUUGUAUGAUAUGGCACUUCUGAGAUAAAAUUCAUUGAUGAUUCCGAGGCAUACAAAAACACAUUUUUGUUCCAAUUCAAAAUUACUAGCACGCCAUGAAACUUUCAAUAGACCUGCAAUCAUACUGAUUUUAGGUAGCAAAAUCUAAACCAGCAAAGAGGUCCUCCAUGGACUAGGCUUGAAAAUUAGAUGGUGCAUCUGGGAGAUUGGUGUACUUAGCAAGGGUAUCUAUAAGGAUAGUAGCUGGAGGUAAAUAGGGGGAAAAGGAUCGCAGAUUACAUUAUGUUGCAGAAAACUCAGCAACGUUCUCAUACACAAAUCUGUGAAGAUGCAAGACAGACAAAAAUCCUGAUAACUUGUAACAUUACCCUACGGACUAACAAUUGUAAACUUAAAUUAUCCACAUGCACUUUGAUUAUAGCAUGUGACUACUACGUAGUUUUAUCUAGAGAAAGGACAUUCUUCUGGACUAAUCUAUAAUUCGUCCUUGGCAUCAGAAUCAUCUUUGGCAGCAGCUUCUUUGUCAUCAGUUUCAGCUUCAGGUUCCUCAACAUCCUCUUCUUCCUCAACUGCUGCAUCAGGGCUAACAUUUAAACUGCUCUUAACUGAGCUGUAGAUGCGGGAGGCAAAAUCCUUUGGGUCAUUGAGCAGGAAACCACUCUCCAGUAAUGCUGUUUGGUACAUUAACUGAGCCGUUUGCUUCACGCUCUCAUCCUGUGAACCAAAUACAUGAAAUUAGUAACAGAUAGCCAUUUCUACAACAUCUAUCAUUUGAUCACAUGUAUAGAGAUAAAAUCAAGUGUACCUCAGGGUCCUUUACUACUCUCUCCCGAAGCUCCUUAAUAAUUGGGUGCCUAGGGUUGAUCUCAAGCACCCUUUUACCCCGCAUAUACGCCUGCUUGCUAGCAUCUGAAAGAGUUUGUGACUGCAUGAUUCUUUCCAUAUUGGCACUCCAACCGUAUUUCGAUGUCACAACUACACAAGGAGUGUCGGCCAAACGGUUGCUAAUCUUGACAUCAUCUACAUUGUCACUAGCAAGAGCACCCUUCCACCAUUUGGUUAGCUCCUUAAAUGACUCCUUGAGCUCUUUGGCUUUCGAAUCCUUGCCCAGUUUCAGGCCCUCUUUGGACACAUUUUGGAACUUAUGGUCUUCAUAGUCCAUAAGGUACUGCAUUAGGUAUUCAUCUACGGGGUCCGUGAAGAAAAUCACCUAAACGAUGCAACAAGGCAAAAUUAGCAAAUGAAUCUUUAGAGAAAACAUGACAAAUGCAUUCAUAACAGAAUUCAAAUAUCAAAGACAAGGAACAUAGUCAAACUCAAACCCACAAUGCAAGAAACGAUGACUAAUACUUUUUGUCAAAAUAAAAAACCACUAGUUAUUUUGUUGUGCAGCAUUCCAAUCUUUCCUUGCUAUCUUAAGAAAGACUCAUACCUCAUAAUUUUUCUUUGUUAGCCUCUCAAGGAAUGGUGAUUUCUCUAACUGCUCUUUGCUAGCUCCAGUUAUAUAGAAGAUAUCCUUCUGUCCAGUCUUCAUCCUUGAGAUGUACUGGUCUAGCGAAGUUAGUUUACCAUCUGAUUUUGAGCUGCAAACGGAAAAAAUAUUAAGACAACAAGGGAUUAGUCACCCUGAUUUUAUUUCACAAUCUCAUUAAGAAUAACACUCUUAAGACACAGAGCAUACGUCUCAAAUCGGAGGAGCUUAGCCAAGCGAUUUCUGUUAGUUGCAUCUUCUAUAAUACCAAGUUUUACUGACUUUCCAAAUUCAUUCCAAAACUUUGCAUAUUGACCUUUCUUCUCAUUGUCUGCACUGGAUUCUUCGAUAUCUGUAACGUCAUGAGAAACUCAGAAAUGAGAAAUUCAAUCUCUUAGGCAAUGGAUAGUUCAGAGAUAUUAACUAACCUUUCUUAUCCUUGUCGUUAGAUUCAUCAGGAUCCUCAUCAGCAAUCUUGCGUAUCAUGUCAAGAGCCUUGCGGAUGAGUUUCUUCUUAAUUGUCUUCAAGCUGCUGUGCUGCUGAAGCAUUUCUCUUGAGACAUUGAGGGGUAAGGUGUCAGAAUCAACAAGACCCUAGCAUAAAUGGCAAACAAAAUGAUGUUAGAAACUCUUGGCCAAUACAUAAUAUAAACAGAUAAGUUCUAGAGUAACAAGAACUACCAUUAGGAAACUCAAGUACUUGGGUAACAAUUCGUCAAAUUCAUCAGAGAUAAAGACCCGUCUGACAUAUAACUUCAAGUUGGAUUUCUUGGAGUUGUAGUAGCUUUCAUAUAAAUCUUGAGGAGCCUUAGGAGGGACAAAUAGUACAGCCUUGAACUCAACAUCACCUUCAGCAUUAAAGUGACUCCAAGCAAGGGGCUUCUCAUCACUGAAGUCCUGGCAAAAUAAUACAAGAAUUUAGCAAAUGGUAAGAGAGUUCACAAAAGGUUUCUAGUCUUCCCACUGCAUUUCAACUGGAAGAAAGUAUGUAAGUAGCAAUUUACCUUUGCAAGUGAGUGAUAGAAUUUCGUAUACUCUUCCUCUGUCACCUCCUUUGGAUUCCGAAGCCAUAUAGCUUUCACAUCAUUCAAAAGCUCCCACUCAUAAGUGGUUUCCUUCACCUUCUUAGUUUUGGGCUUUUUCUCAUCUUCUGCCUUCUCAGAAUCAUCUUCUUCUUCAUCUUCAGAAGGGCUAGUUUCAGCUGUUCACAACAUUGAAAGACUAUGAGGCCACAUAAGAUUAAACCAAAAGGAGGGGAUAAACUUUAUAUUCUCUAGCAACCUUCCACACCCCCCCCCCCCAAAAAAAAAACAAUUUCUUCGAGCAGGGGACAGGUCUUAAAAUAUGCAUUAAACACAUUAUACAAGUUUUGACUUCAUUAACACUAGAAUAUACUUGGCAAAUCAGGUAGGAAGAAUCACACAUACAUGUUUCCUCUUCAUCGCUUGACUCGUCUUCGUCGGUAGGAACCUCCUUCUCAACCUCUUUGCUAGCCCAGAGAUAUAUAGGGAAGUUGAUGAAUUCAGAGUAUUUCUUCACCAGGUCCUGGAUUCAAGGUAACCCGUGCAUUAAGCAAAGUAGAAUGCCUCAACAGAAGCUUCAGAAACAUAAUAUUAUUUCAGAGACAGAAAAUGUGUUCAUAGGAACUCUUAUUUUCAAUUUAAUCUGGUAAUUUGAACUGGAAAAUAAUCAAAAUUUGGAACAGGAUAUUUCAGGAUAGAUGCUGAUUAUAAGUACCUAGAUUUAAAAAUACAAAAUCUUAGUCAACAGAAUCAGAGGUCGUGUUUCUUUUCUCUAACUCCAAUAAUUUAUGUUAACUCCACACAGACACAAAAGCAAUAGGUUGGAUAUGCAAAACAGAAACAACUUAUCACAGACUUCUACUUUUAACUAACAAUUCAUCCAUAAGCUUAAUUCUCUCAACCAUUGUAAUCCAAGACUAAUAAAAUAUAAAGUAAUUGGUCCUUUAUUUUUUCGGUUAGACUGCACACUUUCAAUCAAAGGUCCAACUGAUCAAAUAAUCCUAACUAAGGGAGCAGAAAAAGUCAUAUAAGAAAAUAAACUAGAAUUAGCUUCUAAGUUAAUGGGUCUCAAAGGUUUGCAGCCCUUUACUGCCCUGGUCUUCUGAUGUCCUCAAUAUUGCCUUGGAAAAUUUUUUCUUGUCUUCUUAAUAUAAUCUAAUAGAUAAUGUGGGAAAGAAAAGAAUUGAUAAAUCCCAAGGUUAAGAUUGUUUAUUUCCAUUUAUUUCAGCAUUAAAGUAUAUUAUGACCUACUGUGCAAAAACCACUGUCAGAAUGGAAAACAAAAUUACUCUAAAUGACUGGUUAACUAUUAAAAGUUUUGGCAUGCACCAACUCAUGAUAUAUGAAAAGAGUCUCCUUGGGACGUAUCGGUCACACACACCUUUAGUUUGUACUCGUCCAAAUAUUCUCCUGCUUCAUCUCUAAGGUGCAAUCUAAUUUCAGUUCCACGACCAAGAGGUUCAUUCCAUACAUCUUCAGAAAUGGCAAAUGCCCCAUCAGCCUUUGACUCCCAGACAUAU
This 8803-nucleotide long non-coding RNA is filed under the name Nicotiana tabacum (common tobacco). RNAcentral describes it as "long non-coding RNA (NTAB_LNC015078)". Lineage: Eukaryota; Viridiplantae; Streptophyta; Magnoliopsida; Solanales; Solanaceae. The record is from RNAcentral.